This 1043-nucleotide small RNA is filed under the name uncultured Pelagibacterales bacterium. RNAcentral describes it as "bacterial SSU rRNA". The stretch from base 1 to 658 matches the Rfam family "Bacterial small subunit ribosomal RNA", at positions 867 to 1533 of the family's 1533-position model. The record is from RNAcentral. Lineage: Bacteria; Pseudomonadati; Pseudomonadota; Alphaproteobacteria; Candidatus Pelagibacterales.
CCCCGCCUGGGGAGUACGACCGCUUGGUUAAAACUCAAAUGAAUUGACGGGGACCCGCACAAGUAGUGGAGCAUGUGGUUUAAUUCAAAGAUACCCGCAGAACCUUACCAACACUUGACAUGUUCGUCGCGACUCUAAGAGAUUAAAGUUUUCGGUUCGGCCGGACGAAACACAGGUGCUGCAUGGCUGUCGUCAGCUCGUGUCGUGAGAUGUUGGGUUAAGUCCCGCAACGAGCGCAACCCUCACUUUUAGUUGCCAUCAUUNAGUUGGGCACUCUGAAAGAACUGCCAGUGAUAAGCUGGAGGAAGGUGGGGAUGACGUCAAGUCCUCAUGGCCCUUACGUGUUGGGCUACACACGUGCUACAAUGGUAUCUACAACAGGAAGCAAGACUGCGACGUUAAGCAAAUCCUUAAAAGAUACCUCAGUUCGGAUUGCACUCUGCAACUCGAGUGCAUGAAGCUGGAAUUACUAGUAAUCGUGGAUCAGCGUGCCACGGUGAAUGCGUUCCCGGGUCUUGUACACACCGCCCGUCACACCAUGGGAGUUGGUUCUACCUUAAGGCAAGGUUUAAAACCCUUGACCACGGUAUAGUCAGCGACUGGGGUGAAGUCGUAACAAGGUAGCCGUAGGGGAACCUGCGGCUGGAUUACCUCCUUUCUAAGGAUGAAUGAAAAUAAAAUUUCAUUCUAAAUAAUAUACAGGCUAAUGUUGACCGUCCUCAUUUCUCUUCUUAAAGAAGUGUUUCUCUUGCAUGGGGGCCGGUAGCUCAGUUGGUUAGAGCACACCCUUGAUAAGGGUGGGGUCAAAAGUUCGAGUCUUUCUCGGCCCACCAAAAGACAAUUAAGGGGGAUUAGCUCAGCUGGGAGAGCGCCUGAUUUGCAUUCAGGAGGUCAGCGGUUCGAUCCCGCUAUCCUCCACCAAAACACUUCGUUAUCAAAAAUAGUAAAAAUGAAUAAUUAAUAUCAAUAUCUAUAUCCGAACAUUAGAAAUGUUAUUAACUAAUGUUCAAAAAAAAUUUGAUUCAACACAGAAUUUUUUUCUG